AAGUCGUAACAAGGUUUCCGUAGGUGAACCUGCGGAAGGAUCAUUGGGGAGAUGAGAGGGAGAGAGAGUUGGAAUGGGUGAUUACAAACGAAUAUCUAUCUACAACAAUUACACAACAACUGCUGACAAUGGAUCUCUGGGCUCUU
RNAcentral lists this unclassified non-coding RNA (146 nucleotides) under fungal sp. RNAcentral's name for it is "partial internal transcribed spacer region". The stretch from base 1 to 46 matches the Rfam family "Eukaryotic small subunit ribosomal RNA", at positions 1786 to 1831 of the family's 1831-position model. The record is from RNAcentral. Lineage: Eukaryota; Fungi.